Molecule: ribosomal RNA, 293 nt
Filed under: uncultured bacterium
Lineage: Bacteria
Description: partial 16S ribosomal RNA
Rfam family: Archaeal small subunit ribosomal RNA
Source: RNAcentral
GUGCCAGCCGCCGCGGUAAUACCGGCAGCUCGAGUGAUGGCCGAUUUUAUUGGGCCUAAAGCGUCCGUAGCCGGCCCUGUAAGUCCAUUGGGAAAUCCACGCGCUCAACGCGUGGGCGUCCGGUGGAAACUGCACGGCUUGGGGCCGAGAGACUCGACGGGUACGUCCGGGGUAGGAGUGAAAUCCUAUAAUCCUGGACGGACCACCAAUGGGGAAACCACGUCGAGAGACCGGACCCGACAGUGAGGGACGAAAGCCAGGGUCUCGAACCGGAUUAGAUACCCUGGUAGUCC